UGUGGUAUGGCUCAGGUGGUAGAGCACCUGCCUAACAAGCAUGAGGCCCUGAGUUCAAACCUCAGUACCACAA
Molecule: non-coding RNA, 73 nt
Organism: Perognathus longimembris pacificus (Pacific pocket mouse)
Lineage: Eukaryota; Metazoa; Chordata; Mammalia; Rodentia; Heteromyidae
Source: the annotation of a RefSeq genome assembly